UACGUAGGGACCAAGCGUUGUUCGGAUUUACUGGGCGUAAAGGGCGCGUAGGCGGCGUGUCAAGUCAAUUGUGAAAUCUCCGGGCUUAACUCGGAACGGUCAAUUGAUACUGAUGUGCUAGAGUGCAGAAGGGGCAAUCGGAAUUCUUGGUGUAGCGGUGAAAUGCGUAGAUAUCAAGAGGAACACCUGAGGUGAAGACGGGUUGCUGGGCUGACACUGACGCUGAGGCGCGAAAGCUAGGGUAGCAAACGGG
RNAcentral lists this ribosomal RNA (253 nucleotides) under uncultured bacterium. Its description in RNAcentral is "partial 16S ribosomal RNA". It matches the Rfam family "Bacterial small subunit ribosomal RNA", at positions 524 to 776 of the family's 1533-position model. The record is from RNAcentral.